Molecule: long non-coding RNA, 345 nt
Organism: Cyprinus carpio carpio
Lineage: Eukaryota; Metazoa; Chordata; Actinopteri; Cypriniformes; Cyprinidae
Source: Ensembl
CAUAAACUAGAGCGUUUUGAUUUUGAACUGAAAUGUAAACGAUUUCUCACCUGUCAAACGGCUUACACAGUCAAACUUCUAAAAAGGAACAGGAGGACCAAAAAGCGAUUGACACAAGUGGAGGCGAACGUUGGUAAACCUUUUCAUCCAUAGAUCCUGACACGAACCAAGAUGUCUUCUCAGCUGAUGAUAAAUAGUGGUCUGAGCUCUGCUGUUAGCAGUGGAACCUAAUGCGCCGUUGCGUGUUCAUACACCUGGAGUGAGGGCGGACAUGUGCAGCUGAUGAAUGCUGCGGCCCAUCCCAGGUGACAGGACUAACUGAGUCCAAGCUGACAAGAGUCCCUG